Molecule: long non-coding RNA, 339 nt
Filed under: Zea mays
Lineage: Eukaryota; Viridiplantae; Streptophyta; Magnoliopsida; Poales; Poaceae
Description: long non-coding RNA (ZMAY_LNC005083)
Source: RNAcentral
AGGCCCCGUCCCGUCCGGCUGCAGAUCCUACCGCUACUUCCCCGACGCCCGCGCGCUCCAGAGCUGCAGAUCCUACGCGAUCCUGGGAAUCCCCUUGAUAGACACACCUCCAGAUCGCGACCUCCAGAUCGUCGAGAUGAGCAGAGGAAGAGGGUGAGGAAGACACGAGAUGGAUGAGAGCGAGGUAGAUGACUCACCUGAGCUGUUUUUUCCGACGAGCGCGAGGUAGACGAGGGCGAGGAAGACGGGGGAGACGGAUGAGGGCGGCGGUCCUGGGUGGAGAUGGUCUGGGCGACGUAGCAAACCCUGCCUUUCUAGCCUUUUCUCACGGUGGAGGGU